UGGGGAAUUUUGGACAAUGGGGGCAACCCUGAUCCAGCAAUGCCGCGUGUGUGAAGAAGGCCUUCGGGUUGUAAAGCACUUUUGGCGGGAGCGAAAGGGCCUGGGCUAAUACCCCGGGUUGAUGACGGUACCCGCAGAAUAAGCACCGGCUAACUACGUGCCAGCAGCCGCGGUAAUACGUAGGGUGCAAGCGUUAAUCGGAAUUACUGGGCGUAAAGCGAGCGCAGGCGGUUGUGUAAGACAGAUGUGAAAUCCCCGGGCUCAACCUGGGAACUGCAUUUGUGACUGCACGGCUAGAGUGCGUCAGAGGGGGGUGGAACUCCACGUGUAGCAGUGAAAUGCGUAGAGAUGUGGAAGAACACCGAUGGCGAAGGCAGCCCCCUGGGAUGACACUGACGCUCAUGCUCGAAAGCGUGGGGAGCAAACAGG
RNAcentral lists this ribosomal RNA (429 nucleotides) under uncultured bacterium. RNAcentral's name for it is "bacterial SSU rRNA". It matches the Rfam family "Bacterial small subunit ribosomal RNA", at positions 355 to 776 of the family's 1533-position model. The record is from RNAcentral.